GACGAACGCUGGCGGCACGCCUAACACAUGCAAGUCGAACGGACUUAGAAGAGAUUGCUUUUUUAAGUAAGUGGCGGAAGGGUGAGUAACACGUGAGCAACCUGCCUCUGAGAGGGGGAUAGCUUCUGGAAACGGGUGUUAAUACCCCAUAUAAUAUAAAUAUCGCAUGAUAGAUAUAUCAAAUAAAAUCGGUCAGAGAUGGGCUCGCGUCUGAUUAGAUAGUUGGUGAGGUAACGGCUCACCAAGUCGACGAUCAGUAGCCGGACUGAGAGGUUGAACGGACACCUUGGGACUGAGACACGGCCCGGACUCUUACGGGAGGCAGCAAUGGGGAAUAUUGCACGAUGGAGGGAACUCUGAUGCAGCCAGGUCGCGUGGAGGAAGAAGGUUUUAGGAUUGUUAAUUCCUGUUAUAAGGGACGAUAAUGACGGUACCUGAAGAAAAAGCUCCGGCUAACUACGUG
Molecule: ribosomal RNA, 463 nt
Filed under: uncultured bacterium
Lineage: Bacteria
Description: partial 16S ribosomal RNA
Rfam family: Bacterial small subunit ribosomal RNA
Source: RNAcentral